GUGUCAGCAGCCGCGGUAAAACGUAGGACGCGAGCGUUAUCCGGAUUUACUGGGCGUAAAGCGCAUGCAGGCGGCCUUGUAAGUCGGAUGUGAAAUCUCCCGGCUCAACUGGGAGGCGUCAUUCGAUACUGCAAGGCUUGAGGGCAGGAGAGGGGAGUGGAAUUCCCGGUGUAGUGGUGAAAUGCGUAGAUAUCGGGAGGAACACCAGUGGCGAAGGCGGCUCCCUGGCCUGUACCUGACGCUAAGAUGCGAAAGCGUGGGGAGCGAACGGGAUUAGAAACCCCGGUAGUCCACGCCGUAAACGAUGCGGACUAGGUGUGGGAGGUAUUGACCCCUUCCGUGCCGUAGCUAACGCGUUAAGUCCGCCGCCUGGGGAGUACGGUCGCAAGGCUAAAACUCAAAGGAAUUGACGGGG
Molecule: ribosomal RNA, 415 nt
Filed under: uncultured prokaryote
Description: bacterial SSU rRNA
Rfam family: Bacterial small subunit ribosomal RNA
Source: RNAcentral